RNAcentral lists this long non-coding RNA (5346 nucleotides) under Chinchilla lanigera (long-tailed chinchilla). RNAcentral's name for it is "lncRNA (ENSCLAG00000025397.1)". The record is from RNAcentral. Lineage: Eukaryota; Metazoa; Chordata; Mammalia; Rodentia; Chinchillidae.
AAAUCGCCUACACAUUGUUUUGUGGAUGGACAGAUUCUUAUUUCUUGUGUGUAAAUUCCUGGCUUAUAGGUUAGAGGUAUGUUUAACUUUUCUGUUGUGACUUGAAGUCAGACAGACCUGGGUGUGUGAAUCCUUCUGGCCCGCCCCUUGCUCCCUGGCCCCGAGGCAGUUCCAUUUUUGCUCGUGCUUGGUUUUCUCAGGUGUAAAAUAGGCAUCCUGUGCUGCAGUAAUCCAGGUUCAGUUAGACAUGCGCGCCAUUGCUGCUCCUGUGUUUCUAGGAGAGCAAGGCUGAAUGUGGGGUGCGAAGGCUGCUGCGGUGAGGGCCCAGGGUCCACCCUGGCUUUCAGAAUUGCCCUACAGAAACGCAGGGAGCCCCCUCCCCCAAGCUUCCCCUCCACAGCCUGAGGUGGGUGAGGUGACAGGGAGCUUGGAGAUGAUGACUUGUGUCCUCGAAAUCCAGCUUGCUACUGUCGCACUUAGAAAAAGAAAAGCAGGGGCUGGGGACUUAGCUCAGCGGCACAGCGCCUGCCUGGCAAGUGCGACGUAGUAAGUUUGAUUCCCGGUACCGGAAAAGAACCAAAAAAACAACAAAAAAAAAGAAAAGCAAAAGACUCUGCUUCCUGGUCCUUCCCCAUCGCCCCCUCUGCAGAAUCUCCUGGGCCAGGUGGUUGGGCCCUUCUGUGCCUGAGAGAAACAGCAGCUCAGUGCCAGCACCCAGAAGCGGCCCGGAAACUUCCCAGGGUUGCUGUGAGGUGUAUAGUCGGUGCCAGGGUUAAUGAUUUUUCCUUUUCACAACGUUCUCGGCGAACCCGACACUGCAGCCCGCGCUAGACUAAUCUCUGGAGCGCAUGCUCAGGCCUCCUUGGCGUUUAGUCACCUGCCUGGCGCAGGUGCUGCAGCUGCGAGAGCUGCCGGCCACCGCAGGUGCUGUUCCUCCCGAAGGACCUCGACGUCUCACCUACGCUCAGCUUGCAGCAGGCAUGGAGGAACUGAAAUGGGAACAGUACACUGUGACCCUACAGAAGGAUUCCAAAAGAGGAUUUGGAAUUGCAGUGUCUGGAGGCAGAGACAACCCCCAUUUUGAAAAUGGAGAGACCUCCAUCGUCAUUUCUGAUGUGCUUCCAGGUGGACCUGCCGAUGGUCUGCUUAAAGAAAAUGACAGGGUGGUCAUGGUUAACGGCACCUCCAUGGAGGGUGUGCUCCAUUCGUUUGCAGUUCAGCAGCUAAGGAAAAGCGGGAAGGUCGCCGCCAUCGUAGUCAAGCGCCCACGGAUAGUCCAGGUGGCCCCACUCCAGGGCAGCCCUGCCCUCAGUCACGAUGACCGGGCUUUUGAUGUGAUGGACGAGUUCGAUAGCAGAAGUUUCCGCAGCGGGUACAGUGAGAGGAGCCGGCACAGCAGCCGUGAAGAGUUUAACCGCAGCUGGGAGGGCAGCCUGGACAGGAGCCGUGGCCACCACCGACACCAAGAUCAGGACCGCAGCCGCGGCCAGAGCCUAGAGCGAGGCCUGGACCGUGAUGAUCGCCGUGCCCGGGACCGCAGCCGCGGCCGGAGCAUCGACCGGGACUACGAGCGGGAUUAUGAGCGGAACUAUGAACACGCCUACCACCAGGCCUAUGGGCAGGACAGCCCGUCUGGGGAGAAUCGCCGCCGGGUCCAGCCGGAGCCCCGCUAUGAGCACCCCAGGAGCAGGAGCCAGGAGCACUUCCACUCGCAUAGCCCCAGCCCUGAGCCCCGGGGCCAACCUGCACCCGACAGGCACAUCGGGGUCCUCCUGACGAAGAGCAAAGCCAGUGAAGAGUAUGGUCUCCGGCUAGGCAGUCAGAUCUUCAUCAAGGAAAUGACCAAAACAGGUCUGGCAUCGAAAGAUGGCAACCUUCAUGAAGGGGAUCUGAUCCUCAAGAUCAAUGGGACUGUCACUGAGAACAUGUCAUUAAUUGAUGCUGGGAAGUUGAUAGAGAAGUCUAGAGGAAAACUCCAGCUUGUCGUGUUCAGAGACAGCAAGCAGACACUCAUCAAUAUCCCAUCACUGAAUGACAGCGACUCAGAAUUAGAAGAUAUCUCAGAAAUGGAGUCAGUCCGAUCAUUUUCUCCAGAGGAAAGACGCCAGCAGUAUUCUGAUUAUGAUUACCAUUCCUCCAGUGAGAAGCUGAAGGAGAGACCAAGCUCGAGGGAGGAUGCACCGCCAGGCAGACUGUCUAGGAUGGGUGCCACACCCACUCCGUUCAAGGCUUCAGGGGACAGUGCUGCUGCUUUCGUCACAGACACCAAAAAGGAACCCAGAUCCCAAGAGGAAACCCCUGCGCCUCUACCCAGAACAGCCCCAAGAACUUUUCUCCGUCCUAGUCCUGAAGAUGAAGCAAUAUAUGGCCCUGACACCAAGAUGUUGAAGUUCAAGAAGGGAGACAGUGUGGGCCUGCGGUUGGCUGGUGGCAAUGAUGUUGGAUUGUUUGUUGCUGGCAUUCAAGAGGGUACUGCCGCGGAGCAGGCAGGCCUGCAGGAAGGAGACCAGAUUCUGAAGGUGAAUACACAGGACUUUAGAGGACUGGUUCGGGAGGAUGCCGUUCUCUACCUGUUAGAAAUUCCCAAGGGUGAAAUGGUGACCAUUUUAGUUCAGAGCCGAGCUGAUGUGUACAGAGACAUCCUGGCUUGUGGCAGAGGUGAUUCGUUUUUUAUAAGAGCCCACUUUGAGUGUGAGAAGGAAACUCCACAGAGCCUGGCCUUUACCCAUGGGGAGGUCUUCCGUGUAGUGGACACACUGUAUGAUGGCAAGCUGGGCCACUGGCUGGCUGUGAGGAUCGGAAAUGAACUGGAGAAAGGCUUAAUCCCCAACAAAAGCAGAGCUGAACAGAUGGCCAGUGUCCAGAAUGGCCAGAGGGACAAUGCUGGGGACAGGGCAGACUUCUGGAGAAUGCGUGGCCAGAGAUCCGGGGCAAAGAAGAACCUGAGGAAGAGCCGAGAAGACCUGACAGCUGCGGUGUCAGUGAGCACCAAAUUCCCAGCAUAUGAAAGGGUUCUUCUGCGAGAAGCUGGUUUCAAGAGACCUGUGGUGCUAUUUGGCCCCAUAGCAGAUAUAGCAAUGGAAAAGUUGACAAAUGAGUUACCUGACUUGUUUCAAACAGCAAAGACAGAACCAAAAGACGCAGGAUCUGAGAAAUCUACUGGAGUAGUUCGGUUAAAUACUGUGAGGCACAUUAUUGAGCAGGAUAAGCAUGCCCUCCUAGACGUGACUCCAAAAGCUGUGGACCUGUUGAAUUAUACCCAGUGGUUCCCAAUUGUGAUAUUUUUCAACCCAGAUUCUAGACAAGGUGUUAAAAUCAUGAGACAGAGAUUGAAUCCAUCAUCCAACAAAAGUUCUCGAAAGUUAUAUGAUCAAGCCAACAAGCUCAAGAAAACCUGUGCACAUCUUUUUACAGCUACAGUCAACCUAAAUUCAGCCAAUGAUAGCUGGUUUGGCAGCUUGAAAGACACCAUUCAGAAUCAGCAAGGACAAGCAGUGUGGGUCUCUGAAGGAAAGAUUGAAGGGAUGGAUGAUGACCCCGACGACCACAUGUCCUACUUAACCGCCUUGGGCGCGGACUAUCUGAGUUGCGACAGCCGCCUCAUCAGUGACUUUGAAGACACGGAUGGCGAAGGAGGUGCCUACACUGACAAUGAGCUGGAUGAGCCAGCCGAGGAGCCGCUGGUGUCUUCCAUCACCCGCUCCUCGGAGCCGGUGCAGCAUGAGGAGACAAAACCCCAGAACAAAGAAGAAUCCUAUGACUUCUCCAAAUCCCAGGAAUACAAGUCAAACCCCUCUGCUGCGGGUGGCGAUGAAAUUCCCAGGACAGCAGCCAGAGGUUGUCCUCCCCCUGUUGCGGUGAAACCCUCCUUUGGACGAUCCCUCCAGAAGCCCUCUGUCCCUGUCCCUGUCCCUGUCCCUCCCCCUGAGAGUGAGGAGGUCGGGGAGAGCAUCGAGGAGCAAGAGGACACUCCCAAAUCGGUCCUGGGCAAAGUCAAAAUAUUUGAGAAGAUGGAUCAUAAGGCAAGACUACAGAGGAUGCAGGAGCUCCAGGAAGCACAGAAUGCACAGAUUGAAAUUGCUCAGAAGCAUCCUAGUCUCUAUGCAGUUCCAAUCAAAAGCCCCAAGCCAGAUGCCGGCCUGCUGCAGCACACGAGUUCCAGACCCCCCGAGCCGCAGAAAGGCCCCUCCAGACUCUCUCAGAAUAUGCAAGGAAGUUACGGAAGUGACGCAGAGGAGGAGGAGUACCGCCAGCAGCUGGCAGAGCACUCAAAGCGCAGUUACUACGCCCAGCCCGCCAGGUACCGGGACACCGAAUUGUAGCGUCUGAACGUGGACUUUCUGGGCCCAUCAGACGCUCCUGGGAGGCACUGGGAUCAUUCUUCCACGGCAGAAACGCACUGGGUGUGGUGGGAACCAAAUGCGGGUUCUCCUGGGGGCCCCAGGUGCCAGCCAGCAUACUAAGACUCUGUGGAACCAGGGUGGAGAAGUUUAUUAUGGCUUUGUGCUCAGAAUUGAGAGGAACACUGCAGUCAGAUACUGUUACUUGCUUCAGUGAACCAAAAUCUGUAUUAAUGCUGUCGGUGUGUUUUUUAUAUGUAUAUUAAGAAGCAAUAACUCAAGGACGGCUUGAGGCUGAAUGUGAAAAAAAGGAAUAAAAUACACUGUUCGAUCAAACUAAAUUUAAAUUUAAAGUAUUUUACUAUAAAGUGCCUUUGAUAAGAACUGUCUUAAAUUCUUCCUUAAAGCUUUAUGCAAAGCCAUAAUGGACUAAAACUUUAUCUUGGCUACAUUUUUUAUACCAGUUUAAUAGCUAUGGUUUUUCCCUGCACUGUGUCAUCUUUUCAAAGUGUUCAUCUUUGUAAUAUUUUCUAUAAAUUCUGAUUGUACAUAUAAUAGCUAUCCUUGGUAAUUUGGCUGUAAAGUGCUAAAAAACUUGAAGGCCAAGAAGUUGGUAUGGGAACUUACUUGUUUAAAGUCAUGUGCUCCACAACAGAAGAUAGUAGAGAAGAGCAUUUUACUUCCACAAGUGUGUGUAUUCAUGGCCGUCAGUUUUAUAAUUUAAUAAAAAGGAAGAAUACAUUGUAAUCAAUGACGUGCUUUGUGGUGAAUUUCUGCACGCCGUGCGCGCGCACACACACACACACACAGCCCAUGCUGAGGACUGAACUCAAGGCGUUGAGGUACACAAGCAAGUGCUCUGCUGGUGAGCUACGCCCUCAGCCUUCCUGUUUUUAAGUGUAACUUUUAUUUCAGUUACUCAUCAUACAAGUGGAAACUGGUUCAUUGCUGAACAGGGAAUGGAGCGCGUAUGAGUAACAAAAUAAAGACUACUGAUAAUCUUGCA